UACGGGGGGAGCAAGCGUUGUUCGGAUUUACUUGGCGUAAAGGGCGCGUAGGCGGCCAGCACAGGUCAGUUGUGAAAUCUCCGAGCUUAACUCGGAAAGGUCAACUGAUACUGUGCGGCUAGAGUGCGGAAGGGGCAACUGGAAUUCUUGGUGUAGCGGUGAGAUGCGUAGAUAUCAAGAGGAACACCUGCGGCGAAGGCGGGUUGCUGGGCCGACACUGACGCUGAGGUGCGAAAGCGUGGGGAGUAAACAGG
This 254-nucleotide ribosomal RNA is filed under the name uncultured bacterium. RNAcentral's name for it is "partial 16S ribosomal RNA". It matches the Rfam family "Bacterial small subunit ribosomal RNA", at positions 524 to 776 of the family's 1533-position model. The record is from RNAcentral.